UGAUCAAGGUGGUAAGAAGCAGAAAGGGGGGUGAUAAAUAAAAAAUUGCUGCAAUACAGUCCUGACCAAGUAGAAAUUUAGACAGUGAUAAGAAACAAACCCACCAGUCAUACUAGCGGAUUUAGGUAGCUAGCUAGCAACAGGCCCACUGCCAGGAAGAUCAGUUUGGACUUUGGAUCUGGAAGGGCUACAUGACAACUCCUGGUAAGACCUGUUUGUGUUUGGGUGAAGACUGGUGGCAGCAGUCAGGCUGAGAAGGCACCACAACCUGUGAUGUCAGCUACUGGAGUGAGCAUGUGGUCUAAGCAUCGCAUGCUGCUUACAGAAAUUAAUAUUAUUGAUUCCCAAACAUUCUCUGCACUUACCAUCCAUGAAGCUCGGACUGAUCAUCUGUCUUGCAUUCCCUUUAUUGAUUUCAAUUUCUGAGCCAAGACAUGCAAGUGUACUUAAAAAUGCACUGAUCCUAUAGCUCUGCAAGCAAUAAGCUCAUGACAAAGGAAUUGACUUGAUUACUGUCGAAGAAAGAGAGAAAAUAAAAAGAAAUAUUGGGAAAUAUACUGUCUUUAA
This 567-nucleotide long non-coding RNA is filed under the name Phasianus colchicus (ring-necked pheasant). RNAcentral's name for it is "lncRNA (ENSPCLG00000013815.1)". Lineage: Eukaryota; Metazoa; Chordata; Aves; Galliformes; Phasianidae. The record is from RNAcentral.